RNAcentral lists this small nuclear RNA (76 nucleotides) under Octodon degus (degu). RNAcentral describes it as "U4 spliceosomal RNA (ENSODEG00000022895.1)". It matches the Rfam family "U4 spliceosomal RNA", at positions 1 to 82 of the family's 138-position model. Rfam says of the family: U4 small nuclear RNA (U4 snRNA) is a component of the major U2-dependent spliceosome. The structure of U4 snRNA from yeast and human has been reported. The record is from RNAcentral. Lineage: Eukaryota; Metazoa; Chordata; Mammalia; Rodentia; Octodontidae.
AGCUUUGCACAGUGGCAGUAUCGUAGCCAAUGAGGUUUAUCCGAGGUGCAAUUAUUGCUAAACUUUUCUCUUUUUC